Molecule: long non-coding RNA, 398 nt
Filed under: Pan troglodytes (chimpanzee)
Lineage: Eukaryota; Metazoa; Chordata; Mammalia; Primates; Hominidae
Description: long non-coding RNA NONPTRT016753
Source: RNAcentral
AUGAUGGCCUUUAUUCUCCCUCAGAGAGGGAGCUUGAGCUCUUGAGAAAGACAUGAAGGCCCUUGCCGCUGUCGGCAUCACUCCUUCCUCCCUAAUCCGGUCAGUUAAUUGCUGAGUGCUCGCUUCCUGAUCUGCGUGAUGGCCUCGGAACCGGGCUGCGUGUAGACCUGGGUGACUGUCAGCUGAGUUCCCAAGUGGAGGGCCUCGGAAGACGCUCUGUGCGGCCUACUAACAAGCACGAGGUACACGCAGAGAAAAGGCCAUGUGAAGACACAGCGGGAAGGUAGCCAUCUGCAAGCCAAGGAGAGAGGCCUCCAGAGACACCAAAACCUGCCGACACCUUGAUCUUGGACUUCAUGCCCCCAAAACUGUGAAAAAAUAAAUUUCUGUUGUUUAAG